RNAcentral lists this ribosomal RNA (251 nucleotides) under uncultured prokaryote. RNAcentral describes it as "partial 16S rRNA". It matches the Rfam family "Bacterial small subunit ribosomal RNA", at positions 525 to 775 of the family's 1533-position model. The record is from RNAcentral.
ACGGAGGGAGCAAGCGUUGUUCGGAUUUACUGGGCGUAAAGGGCGUCUAGGCGGUUCGGCAAGUCAGAUGUGAAAUCCCCCGGCUCAACCGGGGAUCUGCAUUUGAAACUGCUGGACUUGAGUACGGAAGAGGGAGGCGGAAUUCCUGGUGUAGCGGUGAAAUGCGUAGAUAUCAGGAAGAACACCGGUGGCGAAGGCGGCCUCCUGGUCCGAUACUGACGCUAAAGCGCGAAAGUGUGGGGAGCAAACAG